RNAcentral lists this small RNA (59 nucleotides) under Pseudopedinella elastica. RNAcentral describes it as "partial Mitochondrion-encoded tmRNA". The record is from RNAcentral. Lineage: Eukaryota; Dictyochophyceae; Pedinellales.
AUGCAGAUGUUGUUAUAUCCAUAAAAUUGUAUCAAAGGGUUGUCAUGAUAAUUGACAUG